Molecule: ribosomal RNA, 439 nt
Filed under: uncultured bacterium
Lineage: Bacteria
Description: partial 16S ribosomal RNA
Rfam family: Bacterial small subunit ribosomal RNA
Source: RNAcentral
CCUACGGGUGGCAGCAGUGGGGAAUAUUGCACAAUGGGCGAAAGCCUGAUGCAGCAACGCCGCGUGAGCGAUGACGGCCUUAGGGUCGUAAAGCUCUGUCCUCAAGGAAGCUAAUGACGGUACUUGAGGAGGAAGCCCCGGCUAAGUACGUGCCAGCAGCCGCGGUAAUACGUAGGGGGCUAGCGUAAUCCGGAAUUACCGGGCGUAAAGGGUGUGUAGGUGGUUUCUUAAGUCGGCGGUGAAAGGCUAGGGCUAAACCGUAGUAAGCCUUUGACACUGGGGAACUUGAGUUCAGGAGAGGUGAGUGGAAUUCGUGGUGUAGCGGUGAAAUGCGUAGAUAUUAGGAAGAACACCAGUUGCGAAGGCGGCUCGCUGGACUGUAACUGACACUGAGGCACGAAAGCGUGGGGAGCAAACAGGAUUAGAUACCCGGGUAGUC